UGGGGAAUCUUCCGCAAUGGACGAAAGUCUGACGGAGCAACGCCGCGUGAGUGAAGACGGCCUUCGGGUUGUAAAGCUCUGUGAUUCGGGACGAAAGGCCAUAUGUGAAUAAUAUAUGGAAAUGACGGUACCGAAAAAGCAAGCCACGGCUAACUACGUGCCAGCAGCCGCGGUAAUACGUAGGUGGCAAGCGUUGUCCGGAAUUAUUGGGCGUAAAGCGCGCGCAGGCGGUCACUUAAGUCCAUCUUAGAAGUGCGGGGCUUAACCCCGUGAUGGGAUGGAAACUGGGAGACUGGAGUAUCGGAGAGGAAAGUGGAAUUCCUAGUGUGGCGGUGAAAUGCGUAGAUAUUAGGAGGAAUACCGGUGGCGAAGGCGAAUUUCUGGACUUUUACUGACGCUCAGGUACGAAAGCGUGGGGAGCAAACAGG
RNAcentral lists this ribosomal RNA (428 nucleotides) under Verrucomicrobiota bacterium. RNAcentral describes it as "Verrucomicrobia bacterium partial 16S ribosomal RNA". It matches the Rfam family "Bacterial small subunit ribosomal RNA", at positions 355 to 776 of the family's 1533-position model. Lineage: Bacteria; Pseudomonadati; Verrucomicrobiota. The record is from RNAcentral.